Molecule: ribosomal RNA, 1121 nt
Filed under: uncultured archaeon
Lineage: Archaea
Description: bacterial SSU rRNA
Rfam family: Archaeal small subunit ribosomal RNA
Source: RNAcentral
ACGGGGCGCAGCAGGCGCGAAAACUGUGCAAUGCGCGAAAGCGCGACACGGGAAACCUGAGUGCCUUGACAAAGUCAAGGCUUUUCUUAAGCCUAAAAAGCUUAAGGAAUAAGAGCUGGGUAAGACGGGUGCCAGCCGCCGCGGUAACACCCGCAGCUCAAGUGGUGGUCACUUUUAUUGAGCCUAAAGCGUUCGUAGCCGGUCCUGUAAAUCUUCAGAAAAAUUCUCCCGCUCAACGGGAGAUCCUCUGAAGAGACUGUGGGACUAGGGACUGGGUGAGGUUGAAUGUACUUCUGGGGUAGGGGUAAAAUCCUGUAAUCCUGGAAGGACAACCGGUGGCGAAGGCGUUCAACUAGAACAGAUCCGACGGUGAGGAACGAGGGCUAGGGGAGCAAACCGGAUUAGAUACCCGGGUAGUCCUAGCUGUAAACACUGCCCACUUGGUGUUGCCUCUCCGUUGAGGGGAGGCAGUGCCGGAGCGAAGGUGUUAAGUGGGCCGCUUGGGGAGUAUGGUCGCAAGGCUGAAACUUAAAGGAAUUGGCGGGGGAGCACCGCAACGGGAGGAGCGUGCGGUUUAAUUGGAUUCAACGCCGGAAAACUCACCGGGAGCGACCUUCGGAUGAGAGUCAACCUGACGAGUUUACUCGAUAGAAGGAGAGGUGGUGCAUGGCCGUCGUCAGCUCGUACCGUAGGGCGUUCACUUAAGUGUGAUAACGAGCGAGACCCCCAUCUCUAAUUGCCAGGCUGUCUUGGCGGACAGCGGCACUUUAGAGGGACCGCCAGCGCUAAGCUGGAGGAAGGAGGGGUCGACGGCAGGUCAGUACGCCCCGAAUCUCCCGGGCAACACGCGCGCUACAAAGGACAGGACAAUGAGUUGCGACCUCGAAAGGGGUAGCUAACCUCGAAACCUGUUCGUAGUUAGGAUUGAGGGCUGUAACUCGCCCUCAUGAAUGUGGAUUCCGUAGUAAUCGCGGGUCAACAGCCCGCGGUGAAUAUGCCCCUGCUCCUUGCACACACCGCCCGUCAAACCAUCCGAGCUGGUGUUGGAUGAGGGUAUGUUCGAGAGAACAAACUCGAAUCUGAUGUCAGUGAGGAGGGUUAAGUCGUAACAAGGUAGCCGU